GCCUACGGGAGGCAGCAGUGGGGAAUAUUGCACAAUGGGGGAAACCCUGAUGCAGCGACGCCGCGUGAGCGAUGAAGUAUUUCGGUAUGUAAAGCUCCAUCAGCAGGGAAGAACAAUGACGGUACCUGACUAAGAAGCGCCGGCUAAAUACGUGCCAGCAGCCGCGGUAAUACGUAUGGUGCAAGCGUUAUCCGGAUUUACUGGGCGUAAAGGGAGCGCAGGCGGCGCGUUAAGCCUGGUGUGAAAGCCCGCGGCCCAACCGCGGGACUGCAUUGGGAACUGGCGCGCUGGAGUGCCGGAGGGGG
RNAcentral lists this ribosomal RNA (305 nucleotides) under uncultured bacterium. Its description in RNAcentral is "bacterial SSU rRNA". It matches the Rfam family "Bacterial small subunit ribosomal RNA", at positions 337 to 658 of the family's 1533-position model. The record is from RNAcentral.